GACGAACGCUGGCGGCGCGCUUAACACAUGCAAGUCGAGCGAUGAAAUUUCGACAGAUCCCUUCGGGGUGAAGAUGAAAUGGAUUAGCGGCGGACGGGUGAGUAACACGUGAGUAACCUGCCUUUGACAUUGGGAUAGCCUCGGGAAACUGGGAUUAAUACCAAAUGACACUAACUGAUCACAUGAUCAAUUAGUCAAAGAAAUUCGGUCAAAGAUGGACUCGCGGCUGAUUAGCUAGUUGGUGGGGUAACGGCCCACCAAGGCGACGAUCAGUGGCCGGGCUGAGAGGGUGACCGGUCACAUUGGAACUGAGACACAGACCAAACUCCUACGGGAGGCAGCAGUGGGGAAUAUUGCGCAAGGGAGGAAAACCUGAUGCAGCGACGCCGCGUGAGCGAAGAAGGCCUUCGGGUCGUAAAGCUCUUUUAUGAGGGAAGAUAAUGACGGUACCUCAAGAAAAAGCCCCGGCUAACUACGUG
RNAcentral lists this ribosomal RNA (479 nucleotides) under uncultured bacterium. Its description in RNAcentral is "partial 16S ribosomal RNA". It matches the Rfam family "Bacterial small subunit ribosomal RNA", at positions 28 to 507 of the family's 1533-position model. The record is from RNAcentral.